This 497-nucleotide ribosomal RNA is filed under the name uncultured bacterium. RNAcentral's name for it is "partial 16S ribosomal RNA". It matches the Rfam family "Bacterial small subunit ribosomal RNA", at positions 28 to 507 of the family's 1533-position model. The record is from RNAcentral.
GAUGAACGCUGGCGGCGUGCCUAAUACAUGCAAGUCGAGCGAACAGACGAGGAGCUUGCUCCUCUGACGAUAGCGGCGGACGUGUGAGUAACACGUGGAUAACCUACCUAUAAGACUGGGAUAACUUCGGGAAACCGGAGCUAAUACCGGAUAAUAUAUUGAACCGCAUGGUUCAAUAGUGAAAGACGGUUUUGCUGUCACUUAUAGAUGGAUCCUCGCCGCAUUAGCUAGUUGGUAAGGUAACGGUUUACCAAGGCAACGAUGCGUAGCCGCCCUGAGAGGGUGAGCGCCCAAACUGGAACUGGGAAACGGUCCAGACUCCUACGGGAGGCAGCAGUAGGGAAUCUUCCGCAAUGGGCGAAAGCCUGACGGAGCAACGCCGCGUGAGUGAUGAAGGUCUUCGGAUCGUAAAACUCUGUUAUUAGGGAAGAACAAAUGUGUAAGUAACUAUGCACGUCUUGACGGUACCUAAUCAGAAAGCCACGGCUAACUACGUG